RNAcentral lists this ribosomal RNA (254 nucleotides) under uncultured bacterium. Its description in RNAcentral is "partial 16S ribosomal RNA". It matches the Rfam family "Bacterial small subunit ribosomal RNA", at positions 524 to 776 of the family's 1533-position model. The record is from RNAcentral.
UACGGAGGGUGCGAGCGUUGUCCGGAAUCAUUGGGCGUAAAGGGCGCGUAGGUGGCCCGGUCAGUUCGUGGUGAAAGCGCGGGGCUCAACCCUGCGUCGGCCAUGAAUACUGCCGCGGCUGGAGCACUGUAGAGGCAGGCGGAAUUCCGGGUGUAGCGGUGGAAUGCGUAGAGAUCCGGAAGAACACCAGUGGCGAAGGCGGCUCACUGGCCCGGUACUGACGCUGAGGUGCGAAAGCGUGGGGAGCAAACAGG